GUUAUUAUUUACCUGACAUUUCUCUCCCAAUUAUCUCACCUUUUACCUUAUUUUCUUCAUGUCUCUUUGGACAAUAUCGUGAAGACUCUCGCUAGACCAUACAAUAUCUCUCUCUCUACAUCACUCUCCCUCCCUCUCUCCAUUUCUAUCUUCCUUUUUUUAUGUUUUAUGGCAACUUUAAUAUUCUAGCGGGUUCACAAAUUUUUGUGACCUUACCGCUCCACAAGAACUCUUUCCCCUCCGACAAGUGCAAACCCUUGUAAUCACUACUUUCUAAUCUUCAUAAGAGUUCUAGUAGCGAUGUAAGUUCCCAUCAUUUUGUCAUGUCGCACCAGAGCUAGAGUCUAUUGAUAUACUUUUGACUGCUAUUUCUACUUUGUUAUGUCUAUUAUAUUGCUAUUUAUGUAUUUUCGCCACAACCACACAAUGGCGAUCAAUUAUGAUCAGCGAUCAGACAGGUUAAGGACUAGAUGACAUAUGGUUAAGGUGGGAGUUGUGUGUUGUUAUGAGAUGUCAAAUAUGGGAACUUGGUCUAGGUAUUCAUAAGGGGGAAGGUUCAAAUGAAAACCACUAGUUAUCGCGAAAACUCGAAAACUAACUAAAAAAGUCUAAAAAACAUACCAAAUUUUUUUUGCAUACCAAUUUUCUCUAUUUUAGGUAUAUAAAAAAAACUUUUUU
Molecule: long non-coding RNA, 678 nt
Filed under: Helianthus annuus (common sunflower)
Lineage: Eukaryota; Viridiplantae; Streptophyta; Magnoliopsida; Asterales; Asteraceae
Description: sRNA HanXRQr2_Chr10g0462581
Source: RNAcentral